AGGAGGCCGGCGGCAGCGCGGGGGCGGGGCUUUGCGGACGCACGCACGUCGAGGUGCUGCUGCCGGGAGCUGAGGAGACUGCGGCGUUGGUCUGCGGCGGUUGCUUUGGCGGCGGCCUUCCUGCGGCCGGAGGUUGGAGAGAAAUCCAGGUACUCAGUUGACCGGCCCUUUCUGCUGCCAUGGGGGAGCUUUUCCGGAGUGAGGAGAUGACCCUGGCCCAGCUUUUUCUACAGUCAGAAGCUGCUUAUUGUUGUGUCAGUGAAUUAGGAGAACUCGGAAAGGUUCAGUUUCGUGAUUUAAAUCCAGAUGUGAACGUUUUCCAGCGGAAAUUUGUGAAUGAAGUUAGAAGAUGUGAAGAAAUGGAUCGAAAGCUUCGAUUUGUUGAGAAAGAGAUAAGGAAAGCCAAUAUCCCAAUUAUGGACACUGGCGAAAACCCGGAGGUGCCCUUCCCCCGGGACAUGAUUGACUUAGAGGCCAAUUUUGAGAAGAUUGAAAAUGAACUGAAGGAAAUCAACACAAACCAGGAAGCUCUGAAGAGAAAUUUCUUGGAACUGACUGAAUUAAAAUUUAUACUUCGCAAAACUCAGCAGUUUUUCGAUGAGGCUGAAUUGCAUCAUCAGCAGAUGGCGGAUCCAGACCUGUUGGAAGAAUCCUCAUCCCUCUUGGAGCCAAGUGAGAUGGGAAGAGGCACGCCUUUAAGACUUGGCUUCGUGGCUGGUGUGAUUAACCGGGAGCGCAUCCCUACUUUUGAGCGCAUGCUUUGGCGCGUGUGCCGGGGGAAUGUGUUCCUGCGGCAGGCUGAAAUUGAGAACCCCCUGGAGGAUCCUGUGACUGGAGACUACGUGCACAAGUCUGUGUUCAUCAUUUUCUUCCAAGGCGAUCAGCUGAAAAACAGAGUCAAGAAAAUCUGUGAAGGGUUCCGGGCCUCAAUCUAUCCCUGUCCUGAGACGCCACAGGAGAGGAAGGAGAUGGCUUCUGGGGUUAAUACCAGGAUUGACGAUCUCCAAAUGGUUCUGAAUCAAACGGAGGAUCACCGCCAGAGGGUUCUGCAGGCAGCUGCUAAGAACAUCCGUGUCUGGUUCAUCAAAGUGCGGAAGAUGAAGGCCAUUUACCACACUUUGAACCUGUGCAAUAUAGACGUGACCCAGAAGUGCCUGAUUGCGGAGGUCUGGUGCCCUGUCACUGACCUUGACUCCAUCCAGUUUGCACUCAGAAGGGGCACGGAACACAGUGGCUCCACCGUGCCCUCCAUCCUGAACAGGAUGCAGACAAACCAGACUCCCCCAACCUAUAACAAAACCAACAAGUUCACAUGUGGCUUUCAGAACAUAGUGGAUGCUUAUGGAAUUGGAACUUACCGAGAGAUAAAUCCAGCUCCAUAUACCAUCAUCACUUUCCCUUUCCUGUUUGCUGUGAUGUUUGGGGACUUUGGCCACGGCAUUUUGAUGACCCUUUUUGCUGUAUGGAUGGUGUUAAGGGAGAGCCGGAUCCUCUCCCAGAAGAAUGAGAAUGAGAUGUUUAGCACUGUGUUCAGCGGACGGUACAUUAUUCUGCUGAUGGGUGUGUUCUCCAUCUACACGGGCCUCAUCUACAAUGAUUGCUUUUCCAAGUCUCUUAAUAUCUUCGGGUCAUCCUGGAGUGUGCGGCCAAUGUUUACUUUAUACAAUUGGACGGAAGAGACGGUUCGGGGAAACCCUGUCCUCCAGCUGAACCCAGCUGUCCAUGGAGUUUUCGGUGGACCAUAUCCUUUUGGCAUCGAUCCAAUUUGGAACAUUGCUACCAAUAAACUGACCUUCCUCAACUCCUUUAAGAUGAAGAUGUCUGUUAUCCUUGGUAUCAUCCACAUGAUGUUUGGAGUCAGCCUGAGCCUUUUCAACCAUACCUAUUUCAAGAAGCCACUGAAUAUCUACUUUGGAUUUAUUCCGGAAAUAAUCUUCAUGACCUCUUUGUUUGGCUACUUGGUUAUCCUUAUUUUUUACAAGUGGACAGCCUAUGAUGCUCACACAUCUGAGAAAGCACCAAGUCUUCUGAUCCAUUUCAUAAACAUGUUCCUCUUUUCCUAUGGGGACUCUGGUAAUUCGAUGCUGUAUUCUGGACAGAAAGGAAUUCAGUGUUUCCUGGUAGUGCUUGCGCUGCUGUGUGUCCCUUGGAUGCUGCUGUUUAAACCACUGGUCCUUCGCCAUCAAUAUUUGAGGAGGAAGCAUUUGGGAACUCUCAACUUUGGUGGGAUCAGGGUGGGCAACGGACCGACAGAGGAGGAUGCUGAGAUUAUUCAGCAUGACCAGCUCUCCACCCAUUCAGAGGACGCAGAGGAGUUUGAUUUUGGGGACACCAUGGUCCACCAGGCCAUCCACACCAUUGAGUACUGCCUGGGCUGCAUCUCCAACACCGCCUCCUACCUGCGGCUCUGGGCCCUCAGCCUCGCUCAUGCACAGCUGUCUGAGGUGCUUUGGACCAUGGUGAUCCACAUCGGCCUAAGCGUGAAGAGCUUGGCGGGAAGUUUGGCGCUGUUCUUCAUCUUCGCCGCCUUCGCCACCCUGACUGUGGCCAUCCUCCUGAUCAUGGAGGGCCUCUCAGCCUUCCUCCACGCACUGCGGUUACACUGAAAAGGCAAAGGCAGGGGUAUGAUUUGUGGUUUUCACUGUGGACACCGGACUGCUAUUAGCAGAAAGACCGUCGCCCCAUGGCCCGCCUUCACAGCAACCUCAUCCCUUCCUAGCUAACGGAUUCCACAUGAACACUCACAGACUGGGGGCUAAAGGGACAGAUUUGGGGACCAGUUUGUUGUAAGGAAUUCAGUGGCACCACAGCAGGACCCCGCGGGGUGGCUGCCCAGGAGAACGAGAACACCUGAAGUGUGACCUCAUGGCCCCGGCACUGCUUGGAGAGGGACAGAACCAUCUUUCUAGAACUGCCUCCCCUCGGUCACAUCCCCACAGGCAAGGGAGGAGGCCCAGGCUUUCCCCUUCAUUCACUUGAGAAGACGUGGUUUCUGUCGUGGGGCAGGAGCACUCUCUCUCUGGACUCCCAGUUAGUCCUUCCGGGCCACUGGGUUGCCUUUUCCAGGUGCGGGAGCUGGCGGGGGUGACAGAGAACCCCCUCUGACUGCCUGAGGCUCUCCUCACAUUUGCUGAAUCCUGAGAUGCGUUUUAGUGGCCUGGGGCGUGGCGGGGUCCAUGGAGGUGCCCCGAGCAGAGCCCCUCAAGAAGGAAGAACUUGCAGGGCAGCCAGUGGGGCCCCGCUGUGCCCCGGCCCAGAGAACUUCGUGUUUAUCCUUUCUCAGGAAGCACCCAGCUCCCGGCUGGGAGGGAGGAGAGGGCGGGGAGACCAACAGGGAAACUGCUUUCCAACUUUGCGCCGGGAGGGUGGGGUGAGCACGGCUGAGAAGGGAGGCGAAGUCAGGCUGACGCUGAGAUACCCAAGAUGUCCCUGGUGGGGGCCACCCUAAGUCACCUCGAGCAGCAGCUGGUGGGCAAGGUGGUGUCAGGUGGUGUGUCCGAGGGACCGCCCAUCUGCUCACACAGCAGAACUUAUGUGCCCCCGUCCCAGGCGUGUGUCCCCUGAUGUAGAUGAGGCAGGCAGGGUGAUGCCAAGAGAAGGGUGGUGGUCCCUCAGGCGUCUGAGAACGUCUGCACCUUCUCCAUUCACCCAGUCUGGAGUUAGAAUUGUUUGUGUGAUGAGCCAGCCAGAGGUCAGAGUUCCAGAUACCUCACAGACCCCAAGGGUGGAAUUCCAGAAUAAAUUCUACAGCGGGACGGGUUUCAAGUUCCUACCCUUCUCCUUCGAGCACAUCCGAGAAGGGAAGCUUGACGAAUAAGCCCCUCAGGGGGGCUGUGCGCCCUCUGCCCUCCCCACUCCCUCCACAGUGAUUAGCUGUGCUCCGCUUGCCGUUGGUUGUGAUCCCUGGGUAUCAGGGCAUCUGAGUCAUCCCUGCCACCCUUCCCCCAGCCACCUGUGAGUCAUUUAGAUAGACCCAGCCCUUCCUGGGUCCCCCGCCACCUCCAGCUUUGUGUGUUGUAGUGCAGUGAUUUUUCUGGAGAGAAGCGGGCCCGAGCGGUCACUCAAACCCACUCCCACUGGGCACCCUCCUUGCCCUUCCAGCCUCUGUCCAGCCCUUCCUCUGCCCCCUGGUGGUGAAGCCGUUUGUGCAUUUACACAGGAGCCCAGAGCGCUAGGAGGGAGCGCCUUCGCUGUCU
Molecule: RNA transcript, 4196 nt
Organism: Lagenorhynchus albirostris (white-beaked dolphin)
Lineage: Eukaryota; Metazoa; Chordata; Mammalia; Artiodactyla; Delphinidae
Gene: ATP6V0A1
Gene name: ATPase H+ transporting V0 subunit a1
Exons: 22
Source: RefSeq, a predicted model, not a curated record